GUAUAGAACCUACCUUAUAUUGGGGGAUAGCCCAGAGAAAUUUGGAUUAAUACCCCAUAGUAUGCUGAAGUGGCAUCCUUUAGUAUUAAAGAUUUAUCGAUAUAAGAUGGCUAUGCGUUCUAUUAGCUAGUUGGUAUGGUAACGGCAUACCAAGGCUACGAUAGAUAGGGGUCCUGAGAGGGAGAUCCCCCACACUGGUACUGAGACACGGACCAGACUCCUACGGGAGGCAGCAGUGAGGAAUAUUGGACAAUGGAGGCAACUCUGAUCCAGCCAUGCCGCGUGCAGGAAGACUGCCCUAUGGGUUGUAAACUGCUUUUAUAGAGGAAGAAACCCCCCGACGAGUCGGGUCUGACGGUACUCUACGAAUAAGGAUCGGCUAACUCCGUGCCAGCAGCCGCGGUAAUACGGAGGAUCCAAGCGUUAUCCGGAAUCAUUGGGUUUAAAGGGUCCGUAGCGGAUUUGUAAGUCAGUGGUGAAAGUUUGCGGCUCAACCGUAAAAUUGCCAUUGAUACUGCAAGUCUUGAAUCAUUGUGAAGUGGUUAGAAUAUGUAGUGUAGCGGUGAAAUGCAUAGAUAUUACUUAGAAUACCGAUUGCGAAGCAGAUCACUAAUAAUGUAUUGACGCUAAGGGACGAAAGCGUGGGUAGCGAACAGGAUUAGAUACCCUGGUAGUCCACGCCGUAAACGAUGG
This 693-nucleotide ribosomal RNA is filed under the name uncultured bacterium. RNAcentral describes it as "bacterial SSU rRNA". It matches the Rfam family "Bacterial small subunit ribosomal RNA", at positions 117 to 812 of the family's 1533-position model. The record is from RNAcentral.